Molecule: ribosomal RNA, 794 nt
Filed under: bacterium
Lineage: Bacteria
Description: bacterial SSU rRNA
Rfam family: Bacterial small subunit ribosomal RNA
Source: RNAcentral
UGCUAUACAUGCAAGUCGAGCGAACAGAUAAGGAGCUUGCUCCUUUGACGUUAGCGGCGGACGGGUGAGUAACACGUGGAUAACCUACCUAUAAGACUGGGAUAACUUCGGGAAACCGGAGCUAAUACCGGAUAAGAUUUUGAACCGCAUGGUUCAAUAGUGAAAGACGGCCUUGCUGUCACUUAUAGAUGGAUCCGCGCCGUAUUAGCUAGUUGGUAAGGUAACGGCUUACCAAGGCAACGAUACGUAGCCGACCUGAGAGGGUGAUCGGCCACACUGGAACUGAGACACGGUCCAGACUCCUACGGGAGGCAGCAGUAGGGAAUCUUCCGCAAUGGGCGAAAGCCUGACGGAGCAACGCCGCGUGAGUGAUGAAGGUCUUCGGAUCGUAAAACUCUGUUAUCAGGGAAGAACAAACGUGUAAGUAACUGUGCACGUCUUGACGGUACCUGAUCAGAAAGCCACGGCUAACUACGUGCCAGCAGCCGCGGUAAUACGUAGGUGGCAAGCGUUAUCCGGAAUUAUUGGGCGUAAAGCGCGCGUAGGCGGUUUUUUAAGUCUGAUGUGAAAGCCCACGGCUCAACCGUGGAGGGUCAUUGGAAACUGGAAAACUUGAGUGCAGAAGAGGAAAGUGGAAUUCCAUGUGUACCGGUGAAAUGGCCAGAGAUAUGGAGGAACACCAGUGGCGAAGGCGACUUUCUGGUCUGUAACUGACGCUGAUGUGCGAAAGCGUGGGGAUCAAACAGGAUUAUAUACCCUGGUAGUCCACGCCGUAAACGACGAGUGCUAAGUGU